CGUUUUGCCUCCUCCCCUCCCACAUUCUGCUCUUCCUCUCUCUCUCUCUCUCUCUCUCUCUCUCUCUCUCUCUCUCUACUGUAAAAAUUUCUUCCAUGUCUCCCUGCGCGAAGCAUGAAGUUAGCGUUGCGUCUACUCGCUAAACUCUUCCUCCAGAUCGGUCCUUCCGAGUUCUUCAGCCCCGUCUCGAUCUCCGAUCCGUUGUACUGUCGCCAUCCUGCGAAAUUGAGCUUCCGCGGUCGCAGUUUCCGGAGAACUUUGAUUCUUUGAGCUGACCAGUUACGCAACCGUCAGCUUUGUGCUCGGGUCGCUCCAGGCGAUGUUUCGCUUUGAUUUGGAUGCUGUUCGGUCCGUUUGGUGCCGUAUCGACGAUCCCGUAUACAUACUCAGCUCACAUGGUGUUUACAUCAGCUACGGGGAUCUGUUAUCUGCUUGGCUAGCGAGAAAAUGGCGGAAAGGAAAACGAACUAUGAGGACGAAGAAGAGGCUUCGGUUCAAAGGACAUGCAUUACUAGUGCUCAGGUUAGAACUGAUUAUACUUGAUUUGCUGUGAAUCCUACUAUUAUCGAUCAUAUAUAUUAUCCAUCGCAUCCCGUGGUUUCGGUAAAUCGAGUAUACCUUCCGUCCUGGCUAUAUUGUUUAAUGUUUUCUCAACUGUAGUUGAGUUUGAAUGGUUUGGCUUAGAAACUUGGAGCACGGUUUGCUUUUUUUCUUAUUUAUAUUUUUGUUUUAUUUUACCAUACACGGCAGUUCAUAUUAUAUUGAUAGGGUUACAUUGAGUUCUUUAGAUCAAAAUUAUAUCACCUUAUCGAUUUACGUAUGGAGAAGCUACUCUUAUUGAGCAAAUAGCUCUAUCAGAUUGAGUUGUGAUUCGUAUAAUUUUAUUCUAAUGGAGGAAAAAUGCGUCUACUGCAUAGACAAGGCUUUUUGAUGGUCAGUUUUCUUAUAUUGAUUCUAUGUACUUGAUACAGCUGAUUAGGUUUGUUGGUAUUUGGUGGUAUAAGUGCAAGAUCAUUGUUCAUGCACUACCCAUGGACAAAAUAUACCAUGAAAAGAUUUAAACUCAUAAUAAGUAUAAUCUUUUUUGAAAAUUCACUUCAUAAAUAGAUGGUCCCUUCGGCAUUCAUCUAUCAAUUUCUUCAUUUCAUCAUACAUUUUUAGGUACGAUAUGAUCUCUCUUGCUUUUUUGUGAUGGUGGGAGUGUUGGAGUGCCAAUCUUUGGGAGGAACGAAAAGAUGCAUAUUGUUAAAGAGAAUGUUUUAGUCAUUCUUGUGCUGUUAUUUAGCAAGUUGUGACCACUGUUUUCUUCUUAUCAUAACAGUUUUUAUUCAGAUAGCUAUCAGUUGGAAGAAUUUUUACUUGAUUAGAAAAUAUUAGUGGCACUACUCUUGAAUACAAAGUAAAAAGCAUUAAAUUAGUACAACCAUUGAGCCAUUUACUUUUAACUUAAGAUAUGUUAACAUAAAAUCAAGGUCAUCUGAUCCGUGCGUAGGAUAACUGUUUGCUUAAAACUUCAGAAUUAUGUGAAGCUUUUUAAGAGAUUGGAAAUUUCUCUUGUACAGCACAUUAGUUAUGGCUAUAGAUUGCAAAGCCCAGUCAUACUAAACCAAAGAAUACCAAACCAAAGAAUAAUACAAUGCAUGGAGCAGAUUCCACUUAUAUUGGUGCGGUUGCAUGAUUUGAAUCACAGAUUAGUUGUAUUAAGUGGCUUAAUUCCAUUGCGCCCUGGCGUAAGGAAAAUGGCCUUUCACAAUUUGUAAUUGAUCCUUGUAUGCUUCAAGUCAAAGAGUUGACAAUCAACGUGAAAGUGAGUAAAUAACACAUUUGAAAAUUUACUGGUGCUAGAGCUGCAUCAGUUUAGCAGCUCGGAGGACUUAGAUGGGUAUUUUUUAUGUCGAACUUAAUGAAUUCGUGGAUAAUUUUGAGUUCAUCUUUCCUCUGCUUACUUUUGGGGCCCUAACUUAUUAGAGACUUAUAUUUGUGUUGGUCUAAUGUGUCUACCUGUUAUAAGCUCUUAUGAAAUGGUUGCUCACUCAAAGAUAUAACCAUGACUAAGAUCUUGGCACUUGAGAUACUUGUACCUUGUUGUUGCGUGCACUUCAUGGGAUUUUGAUGUUUUCUUAUGUGAUCUGAUUAAUCUAUUAGCAUUUCUAGAGGUGAAUUAGCUCUUGUUUGAAAAGUUCUAGUUGCUCCUAAUCAAUUACUAGUGUUUAAGACUGGAUUGAUUUCAUCUAUAAUUGGUGCCACCCUUCUGAAUACAUCUGAUUUGGGUCAUUUUUUGUGGAAGAAACGUGUGCUCACUCCACUGUAGAGGUAUUCAAAGGAAUUAUGUGUAACAUUGCGCUUAGAUUUUGGUAAUGAUCUGAAAGUAGCACUUGAUAUGUCAUGUCUAAAGAAUUUGUGCUCUUUGAAGGCAUUUUAAUAUAGCUCCUGGACCUUGAGGGAUGGUUCGAUUCUUAUUGUUCAAUAGCUGCCUGUAUAUUACCUUCUAUGAGCAUAGAGGAAGAAAUGACCUUCAUUUUUUUAUCCAUACUUUUAUAAUGAUCCUUACAUGCUAUUUUGCUCGAUCAAGAUUAGUUUUGUUGAAAGAGGAAUAAUAUUUUAAGGAACUAAUUUAUGUAUUGCUUGUUGAUGUGAUCGUAUCUAAGUUCAGGCGUUUUUCUAGAGCAAGCAAAAAUUCCUAGGCAGUUUAUGCUAAGUUAUUGAUCUCUCGCUGCUCGUGAACACCUUUUUCACUUCUAGAAAAAAUUACCAACAUUGUUUUGACACGUGGUGAUUGAUUUAUGCCUCCAUUUGGUUUCAAAACUCUAAUUAUGUCAUUCCUCAUUUGCUGCUGUAGAAUUUCUUUUGCUUUCAAGAAAACUUCAACAUUAUUUAAGUGGAGCUACAAUUUUUUACACAAACAGUUGGUUUCAGUAGCCAAGAUAACUGAUUAGGUGAUGUCAUUUGUAAUGUUGCAUUGUCUAGGAUUCUCUUGACUUUACAAGCUAGACAGCUUUGGACGUCUUCUGAUUUUCACCAAAGGGAGCAACAUGAUUUUAUGUUUGGUGGUGUAUCAUCAUUCUCCUUUUUGCUUAUCAAGUGUCAUCUUUUCUUAGCAUAAUCAACAUUUUAGUCCAUAAAAAAUUCACAUGCGAAGAAUAGUUGUGGAAAUACUACCAUGUCACACAUGGCUAAUCAUGGACUGAGGUUUAUGAUCAAUCUCACUAAAAAAAAAAGACAAAAAAAAAUGUUCAAUGUUAUCCGUAAAUAAAACUUCUGUCAAUAUUGCACUGAGCAUGGUCAUAAUAGAACAAUGUCAGUGAAACUAUUCUUCGCAACUAAAUGAAUAACUGAAUGAGAAUUUGCAUUUGUUCAGCCUCUAAGUAAUCAAUAUAGUGACCACCUUAACGAGACAAGGAUGGUAUCAUUGGGCUACAAUAUAAAAGGGAAAGUAUAGAGCAGCCGCCAUAUUUUUACUGCAACUAGUAACCAUCAGAUAAAGGAGAUGUUCGCUUACAAGUGGGUUUUGAUGUCAAAUGUGCUUUCUUGUGAAUGAAUGUUUCCGGAUUUGGGUAGUACUGAUGGGAAGUAUAACGCCCUGGGACAGUAAACUGACGGUUUUCCAUUGACAGAAACUUGAAAACUACAUGAAUAUUUUAUACUUUGACGGUUGGGGGAUGAUUCCCUGUUUUGGGUUCAUGAUAGACAUGUACUCAUCCACUUAAAACCUCCAUAAAAGUGGAGAUGAAUCAAGUAUUUUAGCAUAAUUCUGGCAGGAUAGAACUCAUAGAUUAUUCUUGUUGUCAGAGAAUUAUGCAAGGUUGAUCCUCUGAUCUGCUUCUGAUGAGAUUUUGUCAUCUAUCUCAAGUUUUGUUUCUACUGAGGUAGCCUGUGACAUUUGCCUUAGUCUUAUAGGACUGCCAGUCUACUCAAUAUAUGCACUGGCGUCGCUGUAAAUUAUAAAAUGGCCAGAAUAUCUUGUGGUUUCUUCGUCAGACUUCUUAUAUUUGAUGAUAUAAUACAGUUGUUUCCUAGAGAUUGCCAGAUGCUGAUCUGGCCUAAACGGAUUGAUUUGUUUCAUAUCUGAACAUGGUUGACGGGAGCCUCAACCAUUUGCUCCUGGUGGAUUUGUCAUUAUAAGGCUUAGGCUAUUUGCCUGAUAAUCCAUUUGAUUUGCCUACCAGAAUUCAGAUGGCCAUAUUUACUUGUUCAGAGGAAUUGUCUCCUUAUUUUGUUAAAAAAUGGAUCACACGCUUAUCUAAAGCCUUCUGCAGAAAAAUCCAACCCCAUAGAUUCUUUCUUUGCAUUGUAAAAUCAAUGGAAUUCAGCGGCUUCUUUUUUAGUUUUCGUUUUGCCCAGCAAGUAACGCUGGAUUUCCAUUCAAAUCUGCCCGUUUAGUUAUUUCUUUCCUCAGCUAGAGAUGCCUCUAUGUAAGUGGAUGCUCCUUUGGGUAAAAAAAUGCCGCCCCACUUGCUCCAAGUUCAUUGAUCAGGACUAGUUUUAUUUGUGAAUGCAUUACUUCUCUUGAUAUAUAAUUUCAUGCUUCCUGUUCCCUUCCUUACGGUGGGAAAUUACUGCGCAUUGGGCGCUUAUGAGGCUUACAUUGGUAUAUAUUCACCUUUCAUAUGUUAUUGAUGUCAAAGAGUUUUGCUGUCUCAUACUAUUCGUUUAGUGAAAUAUGGUAGUUCCUUCAUACUCUGUCCUCCCAAGGAUAGGCAACUGAAUUAUAGAUGUCUAAUUCAUGGUUCCUUGUCGUAGAUCACAUGUCUUCUCAAAUUUAUUAUGUGAGUGAUUCAUACCUCUCUUGUUGCCACAUUCUCAUCCCUGCAUUCAUGAGGUUACCUUCAUCAGAAAAUUUUCUUUUGUGCCAGUAAGCUUGCUUGUCACUGUCCUGUGAAGUAGUGCUCUUUGCUAAAACAGACUCAACCUGUCAAAAGAAGUCGAUGCUUGCUGGCAAUAUUUAUAUCUAGGAAUAUUUGAUGGGGAUUGUCAAAGUAUCUUUUGCGCUCUGAUUCAGAGAUGGCAUUACUUUCUUGGAAGUUUGCAAUGUGCUCUUGAAUCAAGUUAAUUAUAGUCAUUCGUGCUUGCAGACUAUUGUUAUAAUGAAGAUUGGUUCAUCUGUUGUUUGAGGCAACUCUGAUUUAUUUUAAUAUAAGUGAUUAUGGAUUGAUGAUAAAUAUCGAUUAAAUUCAUUAGAAGGUUUCAUAAAAAAUUAUGCAAAAGAAAAAGUUCUGAACUUCCAUAGCUACUCUGAUAUAUAUAUAUAUAUAUAUAUAUAUAGAGGAUAAAACUAACUAUAUGGUAAUCGUAGUUCCAGGAUAAUCCAAUUCUAUUCAAAUCAAUUAACUAUAAUGCAAAUAUUGGUUUAAAAUGGACUAUGACUGAAUCUGCUUUUAGCUUUUGGAUUUGUUUCCAGCCUAUACGUGCUUGUAGAUUUUUACCUCUCCUUUCAUCAAGCUGCUGGGUAAAGAAUGAUGCUGAGACACUGUGAAUUGAAAUACUUUUGUUCGCACAUCAAGCAUACCCUUUUAUGCAGAGAAACAGUGCUGCUUUCUGUUGUUACAAGAUUGUUGUUUAUGUUAUUGUUUCUUAGCCCUGCUACUGGUGGAUAAAACCGUCGGGUAACAGGAAAUUGCUUUCACCAAUAGAUAGUGCCAUACUUGUUCAAGCAGAUAGGACAUAAUAUGCUUCCUGGGUAGUCCAUGAGGUCUUUGGUUUGAAUACCCUCUUGCACAUGUAGCCCCUGGUGAGGCCACUUAUCAAAAAAAGGAAAUAAAGAAAAAGGAACAAACUUUUUGUUAUGAAUUUAUAUAAUUUAAUCAAUCUAAGCUGUGUGUUUAAAUUUUAAUUUACCUUAAAAUCUCAAAUGAAUAUAUUUAAAAGAUAAAAAGGUUAUCAUCGAUCAAAUGAACUAGUCUCUAACAUUUUUGGCUGGUGAUGCCAUAUUCAACUUAAUUAAUCGAGUUCACUGGCUGAGCCACGUAUAACCCACCUGUAUUAUUCUGUUGAUGUGGGGAAGUUAGCUUCUUGGAUUCUUUAGAUAUUUUGGGAGAAACGCAUGCCUAAUGGGUCUUCAAAAGGAAUUUCCUUUGUCAAAGCCUUCUAUCUUUCAAACUCCAAGCCUGGAAACAGCACAAAACCCAUUGCAUAAUUGUUAUGUUAGGCGAAGAAUAAAUGUAUCACUGUUUAGAAAACUGGAUAAAUUUUCUGAGGAACUAAACUGAUAGUUAUUUGUAAGAACACCUUUAGACAGAUGGACCAUACACUGUGUGACCAAAAUACAGUAGUACUAGGAAAACAAAGGAUAGAGGUGCAGUAUUUAAUGAGAUAGUGGCUAUAACUGGACUCUCAUUGUCUGUGAAAUAUAUGCAAAGCGUGCUUUUACAAACUUUUCGCAGCUUUUAUUCCUCCUAGAGUUUGUUUCCCUUUUGCAGAUUCUUUAUUGCACAUGCCAGUUAAUUAAGUAUUUGUUCAGUAGUACUUCAGAGCUUCUUAGUCUUUGAGCGCAGCAAGCAUUGUCGUCAGAGACAUGGCACACACUUGGAGGUAUGUGAUGUGAUCUAAUAAAAAUUGACAAUUAGAUGUUAAUAUGAUAACAUAGUACAAUUAAUUAUUGUAGUUUUCAUCUCUGUUAAUUUAGAUUCAUAUUGGCAUCUUUUUUUUUCGCUUGAAAGAUUCAUAGUGGCAUCAGCUUGUUACAUUGUUGUCCCCUUUAUUCUUCUCUAUGUGCAUAGCAUUACUAUUGAGGAUUAUAUCAUAUUCCGAAUUCUUGCCAUCUGUGAUCAUGUGCAUAUAUGAAAUAUACGGCAAAGAAGUGACGAAAUAACAACUGAAAUGAGCUCCUGAGGGUUUAUCCCUGGGAAUGCCUUCAAAAAAAUUUGGUAGGUUCUCUUUGGGCAAAGAAUAAGAAAAUUGCUCCAGAUUUUCUCAACCAUAUAGAGCGUUUGGUCUUCUGCUUUUAAUUACUACGAGGUCCAAUGCUACAUCACUUUCUUCAAAUAACUUCAUAAAAAUUGAAAUGGGGUUACAGCUGAAAGUCUCAGAUGCAAUUUCUCGGUGGUGAAUUAUUGCUUUACAGUGUCAUCUUAGACUAAGUGAUGACUGUUUCCAAUAUAGUUCAGAUAAGUGGUUGCAAACAGCAUCUUUAGUAACACAAGGUUCUUUUUUUUCUUUUUUUUUUCUCUCUCUCUCUUCCCCCCUUCCCUCUCUUUUUCGGGUGACUUCCUGCCAUGGAGUCAUGGACAAUGUCAUAGUCACAUGGCUUGAAGGGACUACUAUGAACAAACCUAAAACAGUCAAUUCAAACUUAAGCAUGAUCUUGAAAGAUACGUGGCUCACAUACAACAUCACCAGUCAUAAAAGCUUAACUGCAUGGGCAACUUGACUGAAAGCAGGUCCCAGCCAUCUGCAAUGAGUAUGUUGUACCGGCUAGUGCAGUUGUAGUCUGCUGCAGUUAUCACAGGAAUUUGCUUUGAUUAGUAUUCAUAGUGAAGUUGGAUCUGAAACUAAGAAGAGUUUUUGGAGAAAUACAUACCCCAAAUCGGUAGCUCUAGCUGGGUUGUCACAACUCUGCUGAUGUGGUUGGCUGAGCUGGAGGUGGAUGGGGGCAUGGGGGUCAUCAACGACGGCCAGAUCUUUGAUGAGAAGAUUUCUAUUUGCUCCAUUCGCUUCACUUGAUCCGCUGAAUUGGAUUUGAAACUUCUCCAUUGAAGUUGCCUGAGAAAAAUGUCUCUGCUUAGAAAGGGUUUUGUUGAGGUUUAAAAAAUUAGUUAAUCAGAUAGACGUUUUUCCUUUUGUCUGAUAAGUGCAUUUUAUUGAAUCCCAAAACACAUAAAAAGUCAGAACAUUAGUCAUAGCUGGAAUAAUAGCUAGACAAAACUAACAAAUUAUGUCAACUCCGUUAAACGAAAUUCAUAUGAACAAUAGCUAGCCAGAAAGAGUAGGCACUUUGAAAGUGAGGUUUUACAGGGUAACUAUAUUUUACUUAUCAUUAUUAUUUCUAGUAAAUAUUCAAAUACAUACCUUUUUGUACAAUUCCAUGUUUUCCUGUCGAAAUAUGUUUACCUUCUUGUUCAACUCGGAGUUUUCCUGGUGAAGAAGGCUUCUCUGCACAAGGAACAACAAUAUUUAGUUUUCUCAACCGGCACAGAUAGGUGAAAACUGUAAUCUGUUUCAGAUUUAGAAACCUUUCUGUCCAGCUCUUUUAUUUCUUCCAGUAAAAGUUGGUCCUACAAAAGUGAAAUAUCAUACAUUAAAUGCAAGUCCUUUUCCAGCAAGUCAGAAAUUUUAAGAUGAGCUUUUGUGUGGGUCUGUGUAAACCUUUUUCACACGGACUCCACGGAUACUUAUUUCCAAUUGGUUCUCCAAUCUUUGCAGAUCUUUGACGCUCAAGCCAGAAAGUUCUUCUCCCAUCAUUUGCCUAUCAUUUUUUUUCCAACAACAUCCACUUAACUUGAAACAUCUGGACUUAAAAUUAUUGUAUGAAACUAUGCAGUGAAAGAAGGUUCCUGUAGAAGUAUAUACAUCAAAGAAAGAUGCCAAGGGAAAGGGAAAAAACAAAAAAGUGCUGAUCCUUAUUCACUAGAUAGUCCAUUUAAAGGGAUAUCAGAAUGUCUUUUUACAUCAACAAAUGCAUAUGAGGUUUUUACAUCAUACUAUUAAGCCAAGUUCUUGCUUGCAUAUUUACAAUUGAAGCUGGAGGAAACUAUAUAAGAUCCCUCUGUGUGAAUCCCGAAAUGCAGCUUGGAAACCUAAGGUAUCCUGAGAACCUAAGUGUUACGAAAGUUUCAAAUAUCACAAGCAUACACAAAAAUUGUUAGCUUAUUGCCGAUUUUGAUUUCAAAUGCUAUCAUAAUCAUCAUGAUUUGUCUGGGUUUCAUAGAGUUUGCUGUACGACUAUUUUUCCUUUUAUUGAUAAAGUUUGGAAAAUAUGGUCAAAUUUCAUGUGCUCAGCAGGCAUACUACUGCAAUGUGCAGCUCAAAUCAUUAAUAGAGAGACAGCUGUAACUUUACGAAAUGCUGCAAUCUAGAAAACUAGAUUGCAAGCCAGAAUUUUAUCACUAAUCUAAAAGGAAGAGCCCUUGUGUGAUGGAGAUAUCGAAAAGGAGUGAGCAAGUCACAAUUUCUCAUAUAGCUCCUCAAAUGCCAGAGAACCAGCUGCAUUAUAGUGUCAUCUUCAAUUGUGAAAUGAUACUGUUAUUUUCUUCUGGGUAUCAAAGUUUUAGUAUAAUAUAUGUACUUGAAUGAAAACAAGACGUACCUAUGAUUCUCUUGCAGAUUCUGAAGCUGUUGCCGUAACAUAGCUGCCUCCCUUCGCCAAAACUGCCAAGCAAUAUGAAUUAUUUUCAUUCCCCCCUCAGCAACAUACUAUCUAUGCAGAUUGUUACCUAGUGGGCAAUAGAAUUAUGAUGGCCAAAUGCUUGCCAUAGGAUGGUACAAAAGAUCAGCACACACAUGAAUUGGUUAACAUAUAUAUAUGUUAAAUAUUCAUAGUUCUCUGUGCAUUGUCGUAUGACAGGACCCUGCGCAUGCUCACGCGGUCCACCUCAAAACAGUGCCUUGGUAAGUGAAGGGGCUAAAAUAAAGGUCUGCUUCUGGUCAUAUAUAUGCUUGUGUUGUGAAAAAGAAUGAGUUCGUGCUUCUCCAUUUCCCACUCCACUUUAUUUUAUUAAUUUUAUUUUGUUGGGGGGGGGGAGAAUUUCUUUAAUCCUUCACAUAUUGGGUUAAGUGUUUAGCUGAAUAUGAUCAGUUUAGUUAUUGUGCUUUUUGCGGUUUUGGGUAUCUUUAAGGUAACUUCUCUUCAAGCAAACAUUCCCUGACCGAUCAAGAAAACAUGCUCUUAGUAUCUUUAUGCUUCUAUAUAGGUUUUACGCCUGCUUAUUUGUCUCUGCCUUGUCAAGGAUGCCUUCUUCCUUAAAGAUGUCAUAUAUGGUGGUUCAUAUCAACAUUUUCAUGCCUAAUCCACUAAUUAUACUGUCAAAUUCCAUAAAAUGUUGAAAAGAUAGGCAUUGCAAUGAGCAAUACUUCAGAUGCCAUAUGUGCAAUGAUGAAAAACAGAAAGAAUUGACAUAAUAGAAGUAUACCUUCACUUCAUUCAUUGGGUUUAUCAUUUGAAGAUGAUCCUCCUUCGCUUUGUUGUAUCUCUCGAUUACCGAGUUCAUACUGUUUGGAAAAACAAGUCAUUGGGCAUUAGGGCACUAUCAUGUCGGACAUCAGAAAAUUCACACACAGUGAGUAUUGACACACGCAGAAAACAGGCCCUUAGGAUCCGAUAAUGCCUCGGACCUUCAGAUGCAUUAUGUGAGCUGCUCUGUCUUAUGGAUCUACAGGGAAAACAAAACUCUAGCUCUGCUGGGUUUCGAGAGUCAGGUAUUGUUCUUUCCCAUUUUAUCUGUAGGCAAAAUCCUCCUGUAUGCUUAUCCAAAAACAAUCCUAAUGUACGUAGUCUUUUAGCUCCUCCUUGAAUUCGUAAAGUCGGAUAUAACAACCUCUAGUGAAUCAAUACUCGCGUGCUUUUGUUCUGUUAUAUUCUCAGCAAGAAACAAUUCGAACUGCUGUGUUACGAGCAAAAGCAAAUCCGUAGAGAAGCAAGUUCUACGGGGCUGUCCUGCAAAUGAAGCUUUUGUUCAAGUAUAAUUUUCUAUAUCCAGGCCUGGUUUAAACUAA
This is a non-coding RNA of Punica granatum (pomegranate), 10647 nucleotides long. The record is from RefSeq and is a predicted model, not a curated record. NCBI's taxonomy places the organism in Eukaryota, Viridiplantae, Streptophyta, Magnoliopsida, Myrtales, Lythraceae.